This is a long non-coding RNA of Pundamilia nyererei, 589 nucleotides long. RefSeq lists it as uncharacterized. The transcript is spliced from 3 exons. Lineage: Eukaryota; Metazoa; Chordata; Actinopteri; Cichliformes; Cichlidae. The record is from RefSeq and is a predicted model, not a curated record.
CAUCAUUUUCUCUGGACCUUCUUCACCACUUGCCUUCAACCUCAGCUUUUCUCGGGUUAUCUCCGCGUUCCGGAAAAUACAGAAAACCUCACCUGCCUGCCCUCCAGCUGUCGCUCACCACCUCGGACGCUGUGGAACUCAGGAUCCAAAUGAAGAUCAGGUGGAUGUCUUCAGUAGAGGAACCAGAUUCUGGGGACGAGGGGGGCAAUCCACCCAUCACUGGGGAGGAGGGUGUCUGGCAUCGAGGGGUCCCUGGGAUAGAAGAAGGACAUGCUGGAAAGAUUCAGCUGGUCUGGGAACGCCUCAUUGUUUCCUGGAUGUUGGAGGUGGAUGAGGAGAGGGGAGGGUAUUCUGGGUUUCUCUCGUUAGGCUGCCCCUGCAACCUGGCCCCGGAAGGGGAAGAAAAUGGAUGAAUUGUUCGUGCUGUUGGAAACUGAUGUAAUUAAUCAAAUUUAGAAAUGUAAAAGGGGAAAAAAAAAAUCAGUGGUAGAAGUUGUAAUUUGUUUAAAAUGGGAACACCAUUGUAAGGUGGUUAUUAGAAAUCUGUAAUUCAACUUUUGUGAAAAUAAAUGAGAUUAGCUGAAAUUAA